RNAcentral lists this ribosomal RNA (936 nucleotides) under Triticum aestivum (bread wheat). RNAcentral describes it as "partial small subunit ribosomal RNA". The record is from RNAcentral. Lineage: Eukaryota; Viridiplantae; Streptophyta; Magnoliopsida; Poales; Poaceae.
AUGGCUCAGUCUCCAGGCCGCGCCGCCUCCGCCGUGCGGCUCUUCGACGCGCACUGCCACCUGCAGGACCCCCGCAUCGCGGUGGCCGCCCCCUCCCUCAUACGCGCCGCCACAGCCUCCGGCGUCGGCCGGUUCGCGGUCAACGGCACCUCCGAGAAAGACUGGCAUCUGGUGAAGCAGAUGGCCCAGGAGCACCCGGCUGUCAUCCCCUGCUUCGGCCUCCACCCAUGGUGGGUGCCGGAGAGGUCGCCCGAUUGGAUGGAUUCGCUCCGGCAGUUCUUCUCGGAGACCCCAGAGGCGGCUGUUGGAGAGACUGGUCUGGACAAGGGAUCGCAUGGAAAAACUAUUGACUUCGGAGAACAGGUUGAAGUAUUCCAACGACAACUUGAACUUGCUAAGGAAUUGGAGAAACCUGUUUCUGUUCAUUGUGUACGUGCCUUCGGCGAUCUUCUGGAAAUACUAAAGCAUACUGGGCCUUUCCCAGCAGGCGUGCUGUUGCAUUCUUAUCUGGGGUCUGCAGAAAUGGUGCCCGGCCUUGCAAAUUUAGGUUGUUACUUUUCGUUGUCUGGUUUCCUUACAGGCAUGAAAUCGAGUAAGGCAAAGAAAAUGCUCAAAGCAAUACCCUUGGACAGAAUUCUACUAGAGACAGAUGCGCCAGAUGCAGUACCAAAGUUGGACAAUGUUUCUCUAGUCACAGUCCCUGUGGACACUUCAGAUGCAGAUGCUGAAAAGUCUCACAGCGAUUCGACCUCUCAGGCGGCCAUGCCUUCAAAAGAAUCCUUGAACCAUCCAGCUAACAUCCACAUUGUUUUGAAGUAUGUGGCAUCCCUGCUUGAAAUGCCGGAAGCAGAACUCGCCGAGGCGAGCUACAGGAACGCCACCAAACUGUUCUCCUACCCUGGAUCCAAAGUUCAUCCCGAAGCUGAAACUGCGUGA